AGCCACGCAGUGAGUACAUUGCGAACUAUUCUUUUGCCUUUUACUAAAGAAUACCGUCUACUCAUUGCAGACAGUGGCAUACCCUUAUUUUUUCAAAGGGGUUUCCCAUGAAGCCCC
Cornus florida is the source of this 117-nucleotide small nuclear RNA. RefSeq annotates it as U5 spliceosomal RNA. The transcript has a single exon. The record is from RefSeq and is a predicted model, not a curated record. NCBI's taxonomy places the organism in Eukaryota, Viridiplantae, Streptophyta, Magnoliopsida, Cornales, Cornaceae.